Long non-coding RNA from Nicotiana tabacum (common tobacco), 488 nucleotides. RefSeq lists it as uncharacterized. Lineage: Eukaryota; Viridiplantae; Streptophyta; Magnoliopsida; Solanales; Solanaceae. The record is from RefSeq and is a predicted model, not a curated record.
AAGUUUGAGACAAAUGUCUCUUGUCUUUCCUUUCUUUCAUUAUAGAGUAUUUUGUAAGAGAUUGAGUGUUGGAAAACACUUGUGUAAAUCCUUUCUUUGGAGUGAUCUUGUAACGUUAUUCUCUUGGGGUGAUUCGAAAGUGAUUUGAAAGAAUGAAUUUCAUGAUUGAAACUCUAAGUUGUAAGAGUUGACCAAGUUUGACUUUUUAAAUAUUUGACCUCGAUUCGGAGUUUUGACAUCUCUAUUAAGUCCGGAUGGUGAUUUUGGACUCGAUCGUAUACCCGGAUUUGCAUUUGGAUAUUUCUAGAAGGUUUCGGUGCUAAUUGGCGAGAGUUGGAAAUUUGAAGGUUUAAAAGGUUCAUAAGUUUGACCGGGAGUUGACUUUGAUAAAAUCGGGUUCGGAUUAUGGUUUAGGUAAUUGGAAUAGCUUUGUUAUGUCAUUUUGGACUUGUGUGCAAAAUUUGAGUUCAUUCUGUGUUGAUUUGAUA